UAGACGCGGAGAAACAGGG
This 19-nucleotide unclassified non-coding RNA is filed under the name Mus musculus (house mouse). Its description in RNAcentral is "oocyte_clustered_small_RNA10674". Lineage: Eukaryota; Metazoa; Chordata; Mammalia; Rodentia; Muridae. The record is from RNAcentral.